AUUGAACGCUGGCGGCAGGCCUAACACAUGCAAGUCGAACGGUAACAGGAAGCAGCUUGCUGCUUCGCUGACGAGUGGCGGACGGGUGAGUAAUGUCUGGGAAGCUGCCUGAUGGAGGGGGAUAACUACUGGAAACGGUAGCUAAUACCGCAUAAUGUCGCAAGACCAAAGAGGGGGACCUUCGGGCCUCUUGCCAUCGGAUGUGCCCAGAUGGGAUUAGCUUGUUGGUGGGGUAGCGGCUCACCAAGGCGACGAUCCCUAGCUGGUCUGAGAGGAUGACCAGCCACACUGGGACUGAGACACGGUCCAGACUCCUACGGGAGGCAGCAGUGGGGAAUAUUGCACAAAGGGCGCAAGCCUGAUGCAGCCAUGCCGCGUGUAUGAAGAAGGCCUUCGGGUUGUAAAGUACUUUCAGCGGGGAGGAAGGGAGUAAAGUUAAUACCUUUGCUCAUUGACGUUACCCGCAGAAGAAGCACCGGCUAACUCCGUG
Molecule: ribosomal RNA, 490 nt
Filed under: uncultured bacterium
Lineage: Bacteria
Description: partial 16S ribosomal RNA
Rfam family: Bacterial small subunit ribosomal RNA
Source: RNAcentral